UAGAACCGUCAGGGGAGUCUCGCCAGAGAGACUGAGAGGCUGGUAGCGAUUAUCGCGGCCCGGCGACCCUUAGAACCUGACCCAGUUGAUACUGGCGUAGGAAGACGCGUUGCUUUGCCC
RNAcentral lists this non-coding RNA (120 nucleotides) under Erwinia sp. RNAcentral's name for it is "TPP sequence". It matches the Rfam family "TPP riboswitch aptamer (THI element)". Rfam says of the family: Vitamin B(1) in its active form thiamin pyrophosphate (TPP) is an essential coenzyme that is synthesised by coupling of pyrimidine and thiazole moieties in bacteria. The previously detected thiamin-regulatory element, thi box was extended, resulting in a new, highly conserved RNA secondary structure, the THI element, which is widely distributed in eubacteria and also occurs in some archaea. Analysis of operon structures identified a large number of new candidate thiamin-regulated genes, mostly transporters, in various prokaryotic organisms. Lineage: Bacteria; Pseudomonadati; Pseudomonadota; Gammaproteobacteria; Enterobacterales; Erwiniaceae. The record is from RNAcentral. RNAcentral also lists the same sequence under 1 other name.